This 914-nucleotide ribosomal RNA is filed under the name uncultured bacterium. RNAcentral describes it as "bacterial SSU rRNA". It matches the Rfam family "Bacterial small subunit ribosomal RNA", at positions 398 to 1333 of the family's 1533-position model. The record is from RNAcentral.
CGCGUGAAGGAGAGGCCCUGGUUUCUUAAACUGCUUUUAUACACCAAGAAAAACACCCACGUGUGGGUGCCCGACGGUAGUGUAUGAAUAAGCAUCGGCUAACUCCGUGCCAGCAGCCGCGGUAAUACGGAGGAUGCAAGCGUUAUCCUUUCCGGAAUUCAUUGGGUUUAAAGGGUGCGUAGGCGGCUUUUUAAGUCAGUGGUGAAAUCUUGCCGCUUAACGGUAAAAUUGCCAUUGAUACUGAUAAGCUUGAGUACAAUUGAGGUAAGCGGAAUGUGUAGUGUAGCGGUGAAGUGCUUAGAUAUUACACAGAACACCGAUUGCGAAGGCAGCUUACUAAACUGUUACUGACGCUGAUGCACGAAAGCGUGGGGAGCGAACAGGAUUAGAUACCCUGGUAGUCCACGCCGUAAACGAUGAUCACUCGCUGUAUGCGAUACACAGUAUGCGGCCAAGCGAAAGCAUUAAGUGAUCCAACCUGGGGAGUACGAUCGCCAAGGUUGAAACUCAAAGGAAUUGACCGGGGGCCCGCACAAGCGGAGGAACAUGUGGUUUAAUUCGAUGAUACGCCGAGGAACCUUACCUGGGCUUAAAUGGGGAACGACAGCUGCCGAAAGGUGGCCUUCUUCCGGACGUUCUUCAAGGUGCUGCAUGGUUGUCGUCAGCUCGUGCCGUGAGGUGUCGGGUUAAGUCCCAUAACGAGCGCACCCUUAUCGUUAGUUGCCAGCGGGUCAUUGCCCGGGGACUCUAGCGAGACUUGCCACCGUAAGGUGUGAGGAGGUGGGGAUGGCGUCAAUCAGCACGGGCCUUUAUUUCCGGGCUCACCGUGUACAUGGCCAAUAAAGGGAGUACGGGUGACCGGAGCAAUCUCUAAGUGUCCUUCGACGAAGUUGCCCCGCUUGUGAAGUGGAUUC